AGAUUAAGUUAUUAAGGGCGCACGGUGGAUGCCUUGGCACUAGAAGCCGAUGAAGGACGUUACUAACGACGAUAUGCUUUGGGGAGCUGUAAGUAAGCUGUGAUCCAGAGAUUUCCGAAUGGGGGAACCCAAUACGAGUUAUGUCGUAUUAUCGAUACGUAAAUACAUAGCGUAUCGAAGGUAGACGCGGAGAACUGAAACAUCUUAGUACCCGCAGGAAGAGAAAGAAAAAUCGAUUCCCUGAGUAGCGGCGAGCGAAACGGGAAGAGCCCAAACCAACGAGCUUGCUUGUUGGGGUUGUAGGACACUCUAUACGGAGUUACAAAGGAAUAGAUUAGACGAAGCAUCUGGAAAGAUGCAUCAAAGAAGGUAAUAAUCCUGUAGUCGAAAAUCUGUUCUCUCUUGAGUGGAUCCUGAGUACGACGGAACACGAGAAAUUCCGUCGGAAUCUGGGAGGACCAUCUCCCAAGGCUAAAUACUCUCUAGUGACCGAUAGUGAACCAGUACCGUGAGGGAAAGGUGAAAAGUACCCCGGAAGGGGAGUGAAAGAGAACUUGAAACCGUGUGCUUACAAGUAGUCAGAGCCCGUUAAUGGGUGAUGGCGUGCCUUUUGUAGAAUGAACCGGCGAGUUACGAUUUGAUGCAAGGUUAAGCAGUGAAUGUGGAGCCGUAGCGAAAGCGAGUCUGAAUAGGGCGUUGAGUAUUUGGUCGUAGACCCGAAACCAGGUGAUCUACCCUUGACCAGGUUGAAGUUCAGGUAACACUGAAUGGAGGACCGAACCGACUUACGUUGAAAAGUGAGCGGAUGAGUUGAGGGUAGCGGAGAAAUUCCAAUCGAACCUGGAGAUAGCUGGUUCUCUCCGAAAUAGCUUUAGGGCUAGCCUCAAGUGAUGAUUAUUGGAGGUAGAGCACUGUUUGGACGAGGGGCCCUUCUCGGGUUACCGAAUUCAGACAAACUCCGAAUGCCAAUCAAUUUAACUUGGGAGUCAGAACGCGGGUGAUAAGGUCCGUGUUCGAAAGGGAAACAGCCCAGACCACCAGCUAAGGUCCCAAAAUAUAUGUUAAGUGGAAAAGGAUGUGGCGUUGCCCAGACAACUAGUAUGUUGGCUUAGAAGCAGCCAUCAUUUAAAGAGUGCGUAAUAGCUCACUAGUCGAGUGACACUGCGCCGAAAAUGUACCGGGGCUAAACAUAUUACCGAAGCUGUGGAUUGUCCGUAGGACAAUGGUAGGAGAGCGUUCUAAGGGCGUUGAAGCAUGAUCGCAAGGACAUGUGGAGCGCUUAGAAGUGAGAAUGCCGGUGUGAGUAGCGAAAGACGGGUGAGAAUCCCGUCCACCGAUUGACUAAGGUUUCCAGAGGAAGGCUCGUCCGCUCUGGGUUAGUCGGGUCCUAAGCUGAGGCCGAUAGGCGUAGGCGAUGGAUAACAGGUUGAUAUUCCUGUACCACCAUGAAUCGUUUUAAGCGAUGGGGGG
RNAcentral lists this ribosomal RNA (1470 nucleotides) under Staphylococcus sp. HMSC065A08. RNAcentral's name for it is "bacterial LSU rRNA". It matches the Rfam family "Bacterial large subunit ribosomal RNA", at positions 1 to 1471 of the family's 2925-position model. The record is from RNAcentral. Lineage: Bacteria; Bacillati; Bacillota; Bacilli; Caryophanales; Staphylococcaceae.